Molecule: ribosomal RNA, 229 nt
Filed under: uncultured bacterium
Lineage: Bacteria
Description: partial 16S ribosomal RNA
Rfam family: Bacterial small subunit ribosomal RNA
Source: RNAcentral
CGGGGUGAGUAAUGUAUGGGGAUCUGCCUGAUGGCGGGGGAUAACUACUGGAAACGGUAGCUAAUACCGCAUAAUGUCUACGGACCAAAGCGGGGGACCUCCGGGCCUCGCGCCAUCAGAUGAACCCAUAUGGGAUUAGCUAGUAGGUGGGGUAACGGCUCACCUAGGCGACGAUCCCUAGCUGGUCUGAGAGGAUGAUCAGCCACACUGGGACUGAGACACGGUCCAG